Molecule: ribosomal RNA, 573 nt
Filed under: Myxotrichum stipitatum
Lineage: Eukaryota; Fungi; Ascomycota; Leotiomycetes; Myxotrichaceae
Description: partial 28S ribosomal RNA
Rfam family: Eukaryotic large subunit ribosomal RNA
Source: RNAcentral
AGCAUAUCAAUAAGCGGAGGAAAAGAAACCAACAGGGAUUGCCUCAGUAACGGCGAGUGAAGCGGCAACAGCUCAAAUUUGAAAUCUGGCUCCUUCGGGGCCCGAGUUGUAAUUUGGAGAAGAUGCUUCGGGUGUGGUCCCGGCCUAAGUUCCUUGGAACAGGACGUCACAGAGGGUGAGAAUCCCGUACGUGGCCGGUGGCCGCCCCCGUGUGAAGCUCUUUCGACGAGUCGAGUUGUUUGGGAAUGCAGCUCAAAAUGGGUGGUAAAUUUCAUCUAAAGCUAAAUAUUGGCCAGAGACCGAUAGCGCACAAGUAGAGUGAUCGAAAGAUGAAAAGCACUUUGGAAAGAGAGUUAAACAGUACGUGAAAUUGUUGAAAGGGAAGCGCUUGCAACCAGACUUGCGCGCGGCCGAUCAUCCGGUGCUCGCACCGGUGCACUCGACCGCGCGCAGGCCAGCAUCGGUUUGGGCGGCUGGACAAAGGCCCCGGGAACGUGACCCCUCUCGGGGGGUGUUAUAGCCCGGGGCGCAAUGCAGCCCGCCCGGACCGAGGACCGCGCUUCGGCUAGGAUG